Long non-coding RNA from Cyprinus carpio (common carp), 1292 nucleotides. RefSeq lists it as uncharacterized. Lineage: Eukaryota; Metazoa; Chordata; Actinopteri; Cypriniformes; Cyprinidae. The record is from RefSeq and is a predicted model, not a curated record.
UUAUGAACACAAUAUUGCCUGAUUGUCAGUGAACCAUGGCUCUGUGUAGUGAAUGCCACUCAAUCUGAAAGCAGGUGACGUAAUUUAGCCUUUUAUAAAGUAGGCCAUUUUCAUAAGACUCAACACUACAUCUACCUCCUUAAAAGUGACUGACAAUCAACAUGCAGGUAUUUUCAACACUACACAAGCUACACUAUUCCCUGGCUUGGACGUGUGAUGAACUCAGUACCUGUCCAGAUUGGAUUCAGAUCUAUCAGCAGCCCACAGGGAUCUCAAGUGUCUUUAACUAAAAGAAAUACACACUGAAAAGGUGCAAGUGCAAUUUAUUGGCAACUGUUUUCUUUAACCAAAAUGCUUUUCUUCUAAUGCCCCCUGGUGGCUAUGAUGAGUAUCAAGAUUAUGUAGAAGCACUAAGAAAUCUGUUCAGUUACUGGGUGAAUCUCACAAAACUUCAUAUAUGUAGAAACACAAGAUAGUUUGAAAGUUACUACAGAGAUUAAAGGAACAGUUUGCGAAGAAAUAUUAAUGCAAUUUUUACUCACUUUCAUGUUGUUCCAAAUCCAAAUGCUGUUUUUAUUUCCAUGGAACACAGAGCUGUUUUUGGUACAACAAAGAAUGCCUAAAAAGGACAAAAAAGAGACCAUAAACACAUUAUACCUUAGUGUAUAAGCACACAAAAGAACACGCAUAUAAAGCUCACUUGUCCAGGUCACAUUUCAUCUUAAAAUAAAUAAAUAUAAAUACACUGAAAGAACAUUAAGAAAAUGAAGCCUAUUUUUGACCAUUGUAUUGUGACAUUGUCUCAUCUAAUACAGUAAAUCGAAUUACAGAACUACAUAAAUAGAUUGAUUAAUCAAUCAAUCAAUCAUAACAUCUGGAUGCAUUAAAGUAAUGAGAAUUAAGGUUAAAUGUGCUCAAUUGUCAUGAAAAUAAUGUUACAGAGCAUAAAAAAAAAACUGUCCUAAGGCCUCAUUUUCUUUGAGCAAAUGUAUUAUUUUUAUCGAUUGAUUGAUUGAUUUGAAAUGUGACCUAGUCUUGUUUUCAUCCUCAGAUUCACUUGAGAGUCAAUGAAUCAACUUUUUCUAUGUGAAAAUGUAAGAAUUCUGUCUUGUUUUCUCUCAAAAAAAUAUUGUUGCAUGGGGAUAUUUAAAAAGUCUGAUUACAGUAACACAGUCAAUAUGAUAAACAGUCUGUUGUGAGACAAGCAUGUGCAUGAAUCAGAAAUGUACCGAAGAAAUGCAAACCAUAAGUGGACUCAGAAAUACAGAAUAAAAUGAUAGAUUUAAUGGCAU